GACGAACGCUGGCGGCGUGCCUAAUACAUGCAAGUUGAGCGCUGAAGGUUGGUACUUGUACCGACUGGAUGAGCAGCGAACGGGUGAGUAACGCGUGGGGAAUCUGCCUUUGAGCGGGGGACAACAUUUGGAAACGAAUGCUAAUACCGCAUAAAAACUUUAAACACAAGUUUUAAGUUUGAAAGAUGCAAUUGCAUCACUCAAAGAUGAUCCCGCGUUGUAUUAGCUAGUUGGUGAGGUAAAGGCUCACCAAGGCGAUGAUACAUAGCCGACCUGAGAGGGUGAUCGGCCACAUUGGGACUGAGACACGGCCCAAACUCCUGCGGGAGGCAGCAGUAGGGAAUCUUCGGCAAUGGACGAAAGUCUGACCGAGCAACGCCGCGUGAGUGAAGAAGGUUUUCGGAUCGUAAAACUCUGUUGGUAGAGAAGAACGUUGGUGAGAGUGGAAAGCUCAUCAAGUGACGGUAACUACACAGAAAGGGACGGCUAACUACGUG
This 497-nucleotide ribosomal RNA is filed under the name uncultured bacterium. RNAcentral describes it as "partial 16S ribosomal RNA". It matches the Rfam family "Bacterial small subunit ribosomal RNA", at positions 28 to 507 of the family's 1533-position model. The record is from RNAcentral.